GUGCCAGCCGCCGCGGUAAUACGUAGGGGGCGAGCGUUGUCCGGAAUUACUGGGCGUAAAGGGUGCGUAGGCGGCCUGAUAAGUCAGAUGUGAAAUACCAGGGCUCAACCCUGGGGGUGCAUUUGAAACUGUCGGGCUUGAGUGCAGGAGAGGAAAGCGGAAUUCCUGGUGUAGCGGUGAAAUGCGUAGAUAUCAGGAGGAACACCAGUGGCGAAGGCGGCUUUCUGGACUGUAACUGACGCUGAGGCACGAAAGCGUGGGGAGCGAACAGGAUUAGAUACCCUGGUAGUCCACGCCGUAAACGAUGGAUACUAGGUGUAGGGGGCGAUUAUGUCUUCUGUGCCGUAGUUAACGCAAUAAGUAUCCCGCCUGGGGAGUACGGCCGCAAGGUUGAAACUCAAAGAAAUUGACGG
Molecule: ribosomal RNA, 413 nt
Filed under: uncultured bacterium
Lineage: Bacteria
Description: bacterial SSU rRNA
Rfam family: Bacterial small subunit ribosomal RNA
Source: RNAcentral